UACAGAGGGUGCAAGCGUUGUUCGGAAUCACUGGGCGUAAAGAGCGUGUAGGCGGUGUGAUAAGUCGGUUGUGAAAGACUCGGGCUUAACCUGAGCAGUGCAUUCGAUACUGUCACGCUAGAGUCCCGGAGGGGAUGGCGGAAUUCCAGGUGUAGAGGUGAAAUUCGUAGAUAUCUGGAGGAACACCUGUGGCGAAGGCGGCCAUCUGGACGGGCACUGACGCUGAGGCGCGAAAGCGUGGGUAGCAAACAGG
This 253-nucleotide ribosomal RNA is filed under the name uncultured bacterium. RNAcentral describes it as "partial 16S ribosomal RNA". It matches the Rfam family "Bacterial small subunit ribosomal RNA", at positions 524 to 776 of the family's 1533-position model. The record is from RNAcentral.